CAGCCGCCGCGGGAAUACGAAGGGGGCUAGCGUUGCUCGGAAUCACUGGGCGUAAAGGGUGCGUAGGCGGGUUAUUAAGUCAGAGGUGAAAUCCUGGAGCUCAACUCCAGAACUGCCUUUGAUACUGAUAGUCUUGAGUAUGGGAGAGGUGAGUGGAACUGCGAGUGUAGAGGUGAAAUUCGUAGAUAUUCGCAAGAACACCAGUGGCGAAGGCGGCUCACUGGCCCAUAACUGACGCUGAGGCACGAAAGCGUGGGGAGCAAACAGGAUUAGAUACCCCCGUAGUCCCUGUCUCUUAUAA
Molecule: ribosomal RNA, 301 nt
Filed under: uncultured bacterium
Lineage: Bacteria
Description: partial 16S ribosomal RNA
Rfam family: Bacterial small subunit ribosomal RNA
Source: RNAcentral